RNAcentral lists this ribosomal RNA (492 nucleotides) under uncultured bacterium. RNAcentral describes it as "partial 16S ribosomal RNA". It matches the Rfam family "Bacterial small subunit ribosomal RNA", at positions 29 to 507 of the family's 1533-position model. The record is from RNAcentral.
AGUGAACGCUGGCGGUAGGCCUAACACAUGCAAGUCAAACGGCAGCACAGUAAGAGCUUGCUCUUACGGGUGGCGAGUGGCGGACGGGUGAGGAAUACAUCGGAAUCUACUUUUUCGUGGGGGAUAACGUAGGGAAACUUACGCUAAUACCGCAUACGACCUACGGGUGAAAGCAGGGGAUCUUCGGACCUUGCGCGAUUGAAUGAGCCGAUGUCGGAUUAGCUAGUUGGCGGGGUAAAGGCCCACCAAGGCGACGAUCCGUAGCUGGUCUGAGAGGAUGAUCAGCCACACUGGAACUGAGACACGGUCCAGACUCCUACGGGAGGCAGCAGUGGGGAAUAUUGGACAAUGGGCGCAAGCCUGAUCCAGCAAUACCGCGUGGGUGAAGAAGGCCUUCGGGUUGUAAAGCCCUUUUGUUGGGAAAGAAAAGCAGCAGGUUAAUCCCCCGCUGUUCUGACGGUACCCAAAGAAUAAGCACCGGCUAACUUCGUG